CAUGCCGUGACCGAUGAGUAUUAAAGGUGAAUUUUUAUAUUUGUCUUUAAGCUAACGCGUAAACACUCCGCCUAGGAAUUACAAUCGCAAGGUUUAAACCUAAAGGAAUUGGCGGAGAGUUAUCACAGCGGUGGAGCAUGUGGUUUAAUCUGAUGAUCCGCAUAGAAUCUUACCAGUUUUUGGGCAACAAAUCUAGAUAGUUGAUUGAGUUUAACUAAGCAGAUAUACAUAACGUAUAGAGCUUACGUAGAUUUGAGCAGGUGC
This 264-nucleotide ribosomal RNA is filed under the name uncultured bacterium. Its description in RNAcentral is "partial 16S ribosomal RNA". It matches the Rfam family "Bacterial small subunit ribosomal RNA", at positions 796 to 1044 of the family's 1533-position model. The record is from RNAcentral.